Molecule: ribosomal RNA, 669 nt
Filed under: Cedecea sp.
Lineage: Bacteria; Pseudomonadati; Pseudomonadota; Gammaproteobacteria; Enterobacterales; Enterobacteriaceae
Description: bacterial SSU rRNA
Rfam family: Bacterial small subunit ribosomal RNA
Source: RNAcentral
UUAGAUACCCUGGUAGUCCACGCCGUAAACGAUGUCGACUUGGAGGUUGUGCCCUUGAGGCGUGGCUUCCGGAGCUAACGCGUUAAGUCGACCGCCUGGGGAGUACGGCCGCAAGGUUAAAACUCAAAUGAAUUGACGGGGGCCCGCACAAGCGGUGGAGCAUGUGGUUUAAUUCGAUGCAACGCGAAGAACCUUACCUACUCUUGACAUCCAGAGAACUUUCCAGAGAUGGAUUGGUGCCUUCGGGAACUCUGAGACAGGUGCUGCAUGGCUGUCGUCAGCUCGUGUUGUGAAAUGUUGGGUUAAGUCCCGCAACGAGCGCAACCCUUAUCCUUUGUUGCCAGCGGUUAGGCCGGGAACUCAAAGGAGACUGCCAGUGAUAAACUGGAGGAAGGUGGGGAUGACGUCAAGUCAUCAUGGCCCUUACGAGUAGGGCUACACACGUGCUACAAUGGCGCAUACAAAGAGAAGCGACCUCGCGAGAGCAAGCGGACCUCAUAAAGUGCGUCGUAGUCCGGAUUGGAGUCUGCAACUCGACUCCAUGAAGUCGGAAUCGCUAGUAAUCGUAGAUCAGAAUGCUACGGUGAAUACGUUCCCGGGCCUUGUACACACCGCCCGUCACACCAUGGGAGUGGGUUGCAAAAGAAGUAGGUAGCUUAACCUUCGGGA